UACAGAGGUCCCAAGCGUUGUUCGGAUUCAUUGGGCGUAAAGGGUGCGUAGGUGGCGUCGUAAGUCGGGUGUGAAAUUUCGGAGCUCAACUCCGAAACUGCAUUCGAUACUGCGGUGCUUGAGGACUGGAGAGGAGACUGGAAUUUACGGUGUAGCAGUGAAAUGCGUAGAGAUCGUGAGGAAGACCAGUGGCGAAGGCGGGUCUCUGGACAGUUCCUGACACUGAGGCACGAAGGCCAGGGGAGCAAACGGG
This 253-nucleotide ribosomal RNA is filed under the name uncultured bacterium. RNAcentral describes it as "partial 16S ribosomal RNA". It matches the Rfam family "Bacterial small subunit ribosomal RNA", at positions 524 to 776 of the family's 1533-position model. The record is from RNAcentral.